GCCUCUGUGGACACACACGAGAAAUUUGCUAACGUGCUGACCACCGGUGGUAACAGGGAUAUAUUAAAACUUCCAAGCGUGUUCCGAGUGGAUCUCCAAACUGGUUUGUCUGUCUUUGAGGAUAUAAAGGUUCUUUACCAAACGCUGACCACGUUCGCCUCAGAAUAUCGUGUAGCAGUAGCCAAAAUCCGACUCAUAGAAUGCAGGCAUUUACGAAUAUACUCCGGCUCAUGUCCAAAUCGGUGCAGAGCAGGCGAUGAUAGGCACAAACUGCUUUGUAGCUUGGAUAAUCUUCAUAAAAAGUUACGGCAAUUCGAUGAUGGAGUUCUAAGCAUGAUGCAAAGGCUUGGGAUACAACGACCCACGAUGCGGGUACGGAGGACGUUAGCACUUCCGGAGGUAAACCGGUUACAGUACUACUUGGGUGUGGUUUACCAACUCAAGACACAGACAGUUGAUUUUCAUGAGGCCAUGGACAUCAUGCUGCAUUAUUAAACCUGAUUGUGAUAUGUCGUGUUCGUCACAAUAUGGGAGACAAGACCACUAAUGAAUAUUCAUAGGUUGGAGGGUCGAGGCCUAUCAAUUAGACGAGUGCAUGUUUUUAACUCUCAAGUACAUAUUUGGAGAGGUAUUGAAAAAAUAUUUGCUGUGGCAAGUCUACAGAUAUAAAGAAAUUAUUUGAUGAAAAAAUUUAUUUCGAAUUUUGCUAAUUGGGUAAUAGGGGGCGUGUUUUGAGUUUUUCUGCCAGUUGGCUGAAAAGAGUGGAAAUAUCGAAGUCUGUCUAAUUUGUCGAUUAUCAAAAAAUUUCCGUGGUCAACUACCAGUUUUUUUUCACCAUUUACUUGCCCGACUGUCCGGAAUAACAUAAUCUAAAUUUCAGAUUCACAACCCCACGCAGUAUUUGAUGCGUCGCGGUCAAACAUUGACAAUUUAACUGCUAAAAGGCUUAAAAAAUCAAUUGUGGUCUUGUCUCAUGGUAAUCAAUCACGUGCAACCGGCGGAGCCGGGCUGGAUGUUUACUGAGCUGAUUCAAGAUUCUUCCGCUUGCGAUGGUUGGCGCUUUGAUAUGAGGACUAUGGUCAGAUCCGGUUACGAAGUCAUGGUAGUGUUGGUGGUUACUUUCAUAGAUUAAUAAACUUGGGUCGUAAAAAAGGAGAUCUGGUUUUGU
Molecule: long non-coding RNA, 1168 nt
Organism: Lineus longissimus
Lineage: Eukaryota; Metazoa; Nemertea; Pilidiophora; Heteronemertea; Lineidae
Exons: 3
Source: RefSeq, a predicted model, not a curated record